GCCCUUUCAUUCGGCGGGCAGGCACCCUAUAUAGCUCAGGUCGGUUUCGGCCGACUAUGGUGAUAAAUGGUGUCGUGAAAUAGACACAGCGGACCCGGGGGCAGUACCCGGCGGCUCCACCACAAACCCGCCAAUCCGCAAGGAAAAGCGGGCUUCUGAGGGGGCCGAACCAGGAUCGACGUGUGUUCAAAGACGAUAUUUUUGCCCGGGCUGAGUAACCCGUUCAAGGCUCAAAACCAAUAGGUGCUAACGAUAACGAAGCACUCGCUCUGGCUGCCUAACCGAUAAGCCUCACGGCCUAAGGUUAGACAAAUAGAACGCGGUUCGGACCGAACCGGGCAACAGAAUCGGAAACC
Non-coding RNA from Sphingopyxis bauzanensis, 356 nucleotides. It matches the Rfam family "Alphaproteobacteria transfer-messenger RNA". Rfam says of the family: Bacterial tmRNA, also known as 10Sa RNA or SsrA, is named for its dual tRNA and mRNA-like properties. Its role is to liberate the mRNA from a stalled ribosome. To accomplish this part of the tmRNA is used as a reading frame that ends in a translation stop signal. Lineage: Bacteria; Pseudomonadati; Pseudomonadota; Alphaproteobacteria; Sphingomonadales; Sphingopyxidaceae. The record is from Rfam.